GGCCUAUUGACUAUUAUUUUAGGUUUGACCUGCCCAAUGAGUGAUUUAAUGGCUGCGGUAUCUUGACCGUACAAAGGUAGCAUAAUCAUUAGUUUUUUAAUUGGAAGCUUGUAUGAAGGGUUUGAUGAGAGAGAUUCUGUCUCUGUAAGAAUUAAUUAGAAUUUUAUUUUUGAGUAAGAAAGCUUAAAUGGUAAUAGAAGACGAGAAGACCCUAUAGAGUUUUAUAUUUGUAAAUAUAAUUUUAUUUGAAGGAUCAGAGAUUGAUUAUAUUUUAAGGUAUUUUGUUGGGGUGACAGAAAAAUUUAAUAAACUUUUUUUUUGUUUAAAACAUUUAUUUGUGGGUUUGUGAUCCUGAAUUUUGGAAUAUAAGAUUAAAUUACCUUAGGGAUAACAGCGUAAUUUUUUCUAGAGUUCUUAUCGAAUGAAAAGAUUGCGACCUCGAUGUUGGAUUAAAAUUAAUUUUUGGUGUAGGUGCUAGUAGAUUAGGUCUGUUCGACCUUUAAAAUUUUACAUGAUCUGAGUUUAAACCGGUGUGAG
Molecule: ribosomal RNA, 537 nt
Filed under: Trigonopterus sp. 1052 AR-2022a
Lineage: Eukaryota; Metazoa; Arthropoda; Insecta; Coleoptera; Curculionidae
Description: partial large subunit ribosomal RNA
Rfam family: Bacterial large subunit ribosomal RNA
Source: RNAcentral